This 216-nucleotide ribosomal RNA is filed under the name Glomeromycotina sp. RNAcentral describes it as "partial small subunit ribosomal RNA". The stretch from base 40 to 216 matches the Rfam family "Eukaryotic small subunit ribosomal RNA", at positions 686 to 864 of the family's 1831-position model. The record is from RNAcentral. Lineage: Eukaryota; Fungi; Glomeromycota.
GGGUCAGUAGGUUGGUCGUGCCACCGGUACGUACUGGUCUCACUGAUUCCUCCUUCCUGAAGAACCGUAAUGCCAUUAAUUUGGUGUUGCGGGGAAACAGGACUGUUACUUUGAAAAAAUUAGAGUGUUUGAAGCAAGCUAACGCUUGAAUACAUUAGCAUGGAAUAAUGAAAUAGGACGAUCGAUCCUAUUUUGUUGGCUUCUAGGAUUGAUGUA